UGCCUGCAGUGAACUGCUUUAAUUUCUGACACCUCAGAUGAAAACUGCAUGUGAAGUCUGACUCAUUCAUAGGUGCAGCUC
Peromyscus eremicus (cactus mouse) is the source of this 81-nucleotide small nucleolar RNA. RefSeq annotates it as small nucleolar RNA SNORD60. The transcript has a single exon. The record is from RefSeq and is a predicted model, not a curated record. NCBI's taxonomy places the organism in Eukaryota, Metazoa, Chordata, Mammalia, Rodentia, Cricetidae.